This is an RNA transcript of Armigeres subalbatus, 1590 nucleotides long. RefSeq lists it as uncharacterized. NCBI's taxonomy places the organism in Eukaryota, Metazoa, Arthropoda, Insecta, Diptera, Culicidae. The transcript has 4 exons. The record is from RefSeq and is a predicted model, not a curated record.
AAUAUACUGGUGAUUCCUUAAAAUAUUAUUAAUUGAGUGCGGUUUUUGUUUUUACGUGAUAAACGUUUUAGUGAACAAGAAUAAUAAUUGACGACAAGAAAGGUGCUUGGAGAAUCGCGCAACAAACUCAUUCCAAGGGUGUUCGAUUUCGGUGUUAUUUUCUGCAACUUGAGCCGGCGGCUUGCGGUGGCUACUUGUUGCUUGCUGUCAGAGUUCUCGUUCCGUGAUUAGAAUGUUGCAUCAACAAUGUCCAAAGUGAUGAUUGGACAGAUUUCUAGAAGUGCAGAUUGGUGAAGCAAGCAGUUACGAAAAAUAGGCUGAGAAUUAGCUUGACAGUUUGUUAUCAGUGACGCAUGCAACAUGGAACCGUCUUACUCAUCCGGUCAGGGAGGGGCACCAGAAACUUCGAGUUCAUCCUCGACGUCUUCUGUUCCGUACCAAAUUCACAAUCUGGAAACCGUGGCAGAAGAGAAUGAAGAGUGCGCCGACAGUUCGACUCUGCCUCGCCGUGCUCCAUCGCCAGACACGAGUAGCGCAACGGUGCUGGUGCUAGGAAUGUCUCAGGCCACUCAAACCCCUGCGGAUGACUGCUAUCAGCCGAUGCAGCACCAAGGUCGGUCUAUCUACGAAGGUAUAAUCAAUCCGGGCGAUACGGCCGUGGAUGGUUCCCCGGUGUCUACCCGUGAUGCGGACGGAGGUGAGUUCGGUGGAUUUCUGGUGGGAUUUGUGAAUUGCAGAAAAUAGUGCUCAGCAUGAGAACGCUAUCAAGUGUCCGAGGGUGAUGAAGAGCUAUGAUAGUAGUAAAACAGUGAAUAUAUGUUUGUAUACAUCGUCGUCGUCAGCAGAAGAAACAGACGACGAAAAAAUGUGUAUGGAGAUGAUGGUUCUGGGAUAAAGAGAAAGAGAGAUACCGAAAAAGGAGUGGUGGCAGGAGUGAAGAUUUUGGAAGCUGAAUUUCUGAUGAAGUCUGGAGAUUUGUUUGAAGAAAUUAAGAUGAAAUCGUAAGUGAAGUAUAAUUAAUCCGUAUUAUGAAGAAGUAAACCGAAGAGCGGAAUUAUUACGAGGUGAUUGCAAAGCAAGACGAAGAAUCAUUUUAACGUAAAUACGGAAAAUUUGCUGUCAACAUAGUGUAGAGGAAUUAUGCGAAAAUUAUCAAGAUGUGAUGAAGUUCAAGUGUGCGAAAUGAUUGAAUCUCGAUAAAUGCAAUUGGGGUUUUUUGAAUAAAAGAUUCAAUUUUGUGUGAGUGCCGGAUCACAACCAGAAGCAAGUAUUAUUACAGAAGAAUUCCUGAGUAAAAUGAUUGUGAAGAGAUGGUGUUUCAUUCAUCACCCGAACGAUGAUGGUGGAAGCAGUAAGCAGCACUACUGAUCGACAGCAGCUGAAUUUAUUAUUGGAGUUGACGGCAAAGAAGGUGUAUGUGGAGUUCAGCAGUGGUGUUGUGAGGUUCGCGAUAAAUCGCAUACGCACACACGGACGGUCGAAGGAGUUGUAGCAGCCGAGAAAGACACAACACUGCAGUCGCCCGUUUCUUCGCUGGAGCCGCAUAAGCAUGUAAAUAUCAUCCAUAUUAAUUCACGAUGUUCUUAAUGG